AAAAAGACGUAUACGAUGCAUUCCAAGCUUAUGAGUUAACGUAAGUCAAGCUCAUGUAAAAUCUGCCUAAAACGGGAAACUCUCACUGAGACAAUCCGUUGCUAAAUCAGCAGUAGCUGUAAAUGCCCAACGACUAUCCCUGAUGAAUGUAAGGGAGUAGGGUCAAGCGACCCGAAACGGCAGACAACUCUAAGAGUUGAAGAUAUAGUCUGAACUGCAUGGUGACAUGCAG
The sequence is an intron RNA, 232 nucleotides long. It matches the Rfam family "Group I catalytic intron". From Rfam's summary of the family: Group I catalytic introns are large self-splicing ribozymes. The record is from Rfam.